RNAcentral lists this non-coding RNA (30 nucleotides) under Rattus norvegicus (Norway rat). Lineage: Eukaryota; Metazoa; Chordata; Mammalia; Rodentia; Muridae. The record is from RNAcentral.
UGUUGUUAUUGUAUGACAGGAGUGUUCUGC